Molecule: ribosomal RNA, 689 nt
Filed under: Ecteinomyces trichopterophilus
Lineage: Eukaryota; Fungi; Ascomycota; Laboulbeniomycetes; Laboulbeniales; Laboulbeniaceae
Description: SSU rRNA
Rfam family: Bacterial small subunit ribosomal RNA (bases 1-397)
Source: RNAcentral
ACAAAUAAAGAUGUAUAUAUAAUUUAUAGUCUUGACUAAAUUUUGUGCCAGCAGUCGCGGAAAGACAAAAAAGGCUAGCAUUAUUUAUAAUUAUUUGGCUUAAAAGUACCUAAACGGCAUAUAGAUCCAAAUACGGUAUAUAUAUGCUAGAGUUAUUUGAAAAAUAAUAUUGUAUUAUAAAUUAAAUUUAUAUUUAUGAAUUAUAAUAAGUAGAUAAUAUAAUAUCUUAUUAAUAAGACAGGUAAAUUGAAGAAAUAAAUUAUAUAAUAACUGACGUUGAGUUACGAAGCCUUAGGUAGCGAAAAGGAUUAGAUACCCUUGUAGUCUAAGGAGAAAACGAUGAGUGCUAUUAGUACUAUUAUAAUGUACUAAUAUGUGAAAAUAUAAGCACUUUGCCUUAAGAGUAAUAUUUCAAUAUAUAAACUGAAAUCACUAGACCGUUUAUGAAACCAGUAGUGAAGUAUGUUAUUUAAUUCGAUAACCCUCGACAAUCUUACCAAUAACAUGAAUUAUUUAUAUAAUUAUAUUAUAUAAAUUUUACAAGUGUUGCAUGGCUGUCUUUAUCUUUUGUUGUGAAACUGAAUUAGUUUUUAUCAUAAUGUAUUACAAUAAACAACAUAGAGUAUAACCCAUUAUUAAUUUUAUAUUUAAAUUAAUGAAUUUUAUCUGGUUAUAUAUUACAUAACCAA